Molecule: ribosomal RNA, 497 nt
Filed under: uncultured bacterium
Lineage: Bacteria
Description: partial 16S ribosomal RNA
Rfam family: Bacterial small subunit ribosomal RNA
Source: RNAcentral
GAUGAACGCUGGCGGCGUGCCUAAUACAUGCAAGUCGAGCGGACGGACGAGAAGCUUGCUUCUCUGAUGUUAGCGGCGGACGGGUGAGUAACACGUGGAUAACCUACCGAUAAGACUGGGAUAACUUCGGGAAACCGGAUCUAAUACCGGAUAAUAGGAUGAACCGCAUGGUUCAAAAGUGAAAGACGGUCUUGCUGUCACUUAUAGAUGGAUCCGCGCUGCAUUAGCUAGUUGGUAAGGUAACGGCUUACCAAGGCAACGAUGCAUAGCCGACCUGAGAGGACGAUCAGCCACACUGGAACUGAGACACGGUCCAGACUCCUACGGGAGGCAGCAGUAGGGAAUCUUCCGCAAUGGGCGAAAGCCUGACGGAGCAACGCCGCGUGAGUGAUGAAGGUCUUCGGAUCGUAAAGCUCUGUUAUUAGGGAAGAACAUAUGUGUAAGUAACUGUCCACAUGAUGACGGUACCUAAUCAGAAAGCAACGGCUAACUACGUG